GGAAGGGUGGCAGAGUGGUCGAUCGCGGCGGUCUUGAAAACCGUUAGGCCGAAAGGUCUCGGGGGUUCGAAUCCCUCCCCUUCCGCCA
This 88-nucleotide transfer RNA is filed under the name Opitutaceae bacterium. RNAcentral's name for it is "tRNA-Ser". It matches the Rfam family "tRNA". From Rfam's summary of the family: Transfer RNA (tRNA) molecules are approximately 80 nucleotides in length. The record is from RNAcentral. RNAcentral also lists the same sequence under 2 other names. Lineage: Bacteria; Pseudomonadati; Verrucomicrobiota; Opitutia; Opitutales; Opitutaceae.